RNAcentral lists this ribosomal RNA (434 nucleotides) under uncultured fungus. RNAcentral describes it as "eukaryotic LSU rRNA". It matches the Rfam family "Eukaryotic large subunit ribosomal RNA", at positions 1 to 432 of the family's 3401-position model. The record is from RNAcentral. Lineage: Eukaryota; Fungi.
GACCUCAAAUCAGGUGGGACUACCCGCUGAACUUAAGCAUAUCAAUAAGCGGAGGAAAAGAAACUAACUAGGAUUCCCUUAGUAACGGCGAGUGAAGAGGGACUAGCCCAAAUUUGUAAUCUGGCUCUUUCAGAGUCCGAGUUGUAAUCUCGAGAACAGUUUUCCGUGUUGGACCUUGUAUAAGUCUGUUGGAAUAUAGCUUCGUAGAGGGUGAGAAUCCCGUACAUAACAAGGACUACCAAUGCUUUGUGAUACUGUCUCUAAGAGUCGAGUUGUUUGGGAAUGCAGCUCAAAUUGGGUGGUAAAUUCCAUCUAAGGCUAAAUAUUGGCGAGAGACCGAUAGCGAACAAGUACCGUGAGGGAAAGAUGAAAAGCACUUUGGAAAGAGAGUUAACAGUACGUGAAAUUGUUAAAAGGGAAACGAUUGAAGUCAG